RNAcentral lists this ribosomal RNA (721 nucleotides) under Drosicha corpulenta. RNAcentral's name for it is "partial large subunit ribosomal RNA". It matches the Rfam family "Eukaryotic large subunit ribosomal RNA", at positions 386 to 976 of the family's 3401-position model. The record is from RNAcentral. Lineage: Eukaryota; Metazoa; Arthropoda; Insecta; Hemiptera; Monophlebidae.
UUCGGGGGUAAACGGACAGAGCCCGUGAAUCCGGGCCAACGAAUUCAAGAUCGAUCGCGUUUAUCGCGUGGUCAGUUUGAUUUUUCGCUGGUCGCGGACGUUGCGACCCGUUUGACGUUGGAGUCAAGAGACGAAGCGAAGUUCUCGCGUAUUCAUCUUCGGAUGGCGGUAUGUGAGAGGCUCGUUUUCGAACCGACUUGUUCGACGGUAUAAAUGGUGUCCGCAGAAUUUUCUCGGUACCGGUCUGCAACGAUUCUUCGGGCCUCUUUCCGACCCGUCUUGAAACACGGACCAAGGAGUCUAACGUGUGCGCGAGUCACGGGGUUUCGCCGACGUUUAUUUAUAAAUGGUCGGCGUUAAUAAACGAAACCCGAAGAAGGCGUAAUGAAAGUGAAUUACACGAUUGAAGGAAGAUAGCGUCUCGAGUACACCUUCUCGGUUUAACCGGGACCGAGCGCUCGCACUCCUGGGGCGUCCCGUAAGCCCGACAUCGCAUCUGUUCGCCGUGAAGCGGUGAACGAUAGUUGUCGAUCUGGGGCGCACUCAUAGCGUACACGUUGGUACCCGAAAGAUGGUGAACUAUGCCUGGCUAGGAUGAAGUCAGGGGAAACCCUGAUGGAGGUCCGCAGGGAUUCUGACGUGCAAAUCGAUCCUCAAAGCUGGGCUUAGGGGCGAAAGACUUAUCGAACCAUCUAGUAGCUGGUUUCCCUCCGACUCAAAA